Molecule: ribosomal RNA, 195 nt
Filed under: Salmonella enterica subsp. enterica serovar Oranienburg
Lineage: Bacteria; Pseudomonadati; Pseudomonadota; Gammaproteobacteria; Enterobacterales; Enterobacteriaceae
Also listed under: 2 other names
Description: partial 16S ribosomal RNA
Rfam family: Bacterial small subunit ribosomal RNA
Source: RNAcentral
AAAUUGAAGAGUUUGAUCAUGGCUCAGAUUGAACGCUGGCGGCAGGCCUAACACAUGCAAGUCGAACGGUAACAGGAAGCAGCUUGCUGCUUUGCUGACGAGUGGCGGACGGGUGAGUAAUGUCUGGGAAACUGCCUGAUGGAGGGGGAUAACUACUGGAAACGGUGGCUAAUACCGCAUAAUGUCGCAAGACCA